GGAAGGUUUGUAAAAAGGGCGGCCAAUUUUAAUUUGCACGUGGGCGGCCGACUGUCUAGGAUCGGCACUGGGCUGACCACCUCCGUAAAGGGGUCAGCCGAAUGGUGGAAGACGGGGAUGGACGGGCCGAGCCUGGAUCCCAUGAUAAAUAUUUUCAAAGGGUGGGAUCCGAGAUUCGAACCGGAUCCUCCAGAGCGGAAAGCCGAAGCGUUUCCACGCGGCCAAUCCGGCCGACUUACUCGGACCUUCUGGCCACUCCAGCUGACUUCUAUCCAGAGACCUCGGGUUGGUUACAGCUGGACCACCAAACAAAUUCCACCCAAUUCGUUCUUACCCCGAGGUGGUUAGGGUGGCCGUAUCCGUGAGCGGCUUUAGGCGCCAUCCACCCUAUCCAGCGGUUGCAUCUGGCUCCGGUCAAAUAUUUCUGCACGGUUGGUCAUCGACCCGUUGACACUAAAGGCAGAUUUGCACCGAGCGCAACCGUUAAAGCCGCAAAUAUUUUUCGCGGUGUAGAAAUGUGUGCGGCAGAACGUGACGUCACCCAAUGCCG
Molecule: long non-coding RNA, 550 nt
Filed under: Androctonus crassicauda
Lineage: Eukaryota; Metazoa; Arthropoda; Arachnida; Scorpiones; Buthidae
Source: RNAcentral